GUUGGAAUCUCACAUUUUAGUUUCCCAGUUACUGACUGUGCAUUCCCACAUUUACAAUUAUUGAAGUACGUUCAAGAAUGUAGAGUGUGAGCUUUAUAUAGUCUUGAGCAGUGCCCUGCUUUUAAGAGUGAAUUAUUUUUUAAAUGGAAAUGAGACUCAUCUCUCCUGGAUCUGAAGCUUGCCGUCAACUACCAGGACCUGAGACUCCCCCCGGCGCUUCCCAUUUUCCUCAGGAGGAAGCCCUGUUGUUUCAGUGGGUGUGUGGUGAAGGGCAAGUUCUCCUAACGUGAACGUCAUUAAUGAAAGUUCUGCCAUUUUUCUUCUUCUUUGUGAACAGCCCUUACCUGGCCCAAUAUAAUCUUUUUGCUGCUUUACGGAGACUGCACACGUCCUUUGA
This 397-nucleotide long non-coding RNA is filed under the name Homo sapiens (human). RNAcentral describes it as "HSALNT0116981". The record is from RNAcentral. Lineage: Eukaryota; Metazoa; Chordata; Mammalia; Primates; Hominidae.